This is a non-coding RNA of Pelobates cultripes (western spadefoot toad), 302 nucleotides long. The record is from the annotation of a GenBank genome assembly. Lineage: Eukaryota; Metazoa; Chordata; Amphibia; Anura; Pelobatidae.
GGUUGGUCUGAUUCCUUGGGCAGAGUUUGCGCACAACAAUCUCGUUUGUGAUUCUACUCGUUCUAGCCCCUUUUUCUUGAAUUAUGGCUUUCAUCCUUCCAUUCUUCCGUCGGUUUCCCCUUCCCAAGGGGUUCCGUCGGUUGAUGUUCAUGUCGACAAUCUGAGAAAGUUGUGGGAUCAGACUCGACAAAUUCUUCUUCAGAAUUCCUUGGUGUUCAAACGACACGCUGACAAACGGAGACGGGUGGCUCCGGUUUUUGCCCCGGGUGAUAGGGUGUGGUUGAGUACCAGAAACAUCCGCU